UUGAGUUGUGACGCUCCCAAUUCUCAGAGCUCCUUCUCCUUCAACGUGAACGGCGGCGCGGUGGAUAUCCCUCUCCGAUCCUCAUCUACGAAGCUUCUUCUUCAAACGCGGCGUUGAUUCUCCGUUCAAACCACUCUUGAAUCGCUCUCAAGCUAAACAUCCAUGGCACGAAGGGAAAGAUUGAAGGCAAGGUUACCGAUCAGACGAAAACGUCUGGUGCUUCUUUGAACAAUGGAAUGCGAUGAAGACGUAGAAUAAACGCGGAGAAACAAACGAAGGAUACUCUGGUUUCAGAGUCGAGGGUGAUUUUAUGCAGGUAGUGAUGGCUGCCAGUUUGGUUCAAAGUUGUGUCACGGUUUGUGGCUCUUUGCAGCCGAAGCUCAUGGUCUUUAUGGGACUGCACUGGUUUGCUUAAUGCGCAGGGUCCUUUAUUUGAAGAGUUUAAUGGUGCAGCUCGGCUUCGGUGAGGUUGGACGCUGCUGGCUCCGGUUUUGUUUUGGUUUGCGCUUUUUGUUUUCAACUUGCUAGGCAGCUAGCACUGAGUAGGUUAUGAACUGGUUUAGGAUUUUGUAUGUUUGAAUGUGAGAUGGUUUUGGUUUGAAUUUUGUGUGGUUAUUGAAAGGUAUAUGGUUGUACUGGUUUUUGUUUUGCCUUUUUGCAUUGAUUCUCUUUGAUUGAAUCUGGUUUCUUUUUCUGAAUUUGAAAUAUUUUCUUCUGAAUCAUGUAGGCAGCUCUGGUUUUGAUGCGAGUUUCGAGUGGCAAGCUGAACUAUUAUGACUCCCUCCGAUGUGAACCGUUUUUUUUUGCGUUUGUUCCUAACUGCAGGUUCAGCCUUCAUCUGAAUUGGGACAAAAUGCAUGCCACUUACAGGUAGAAAACCGAUCGGGUAGAAGCAACAGGGACUUCAAGAUGAAGGAUAGACUCAUGUUCAUGUGGUUUUUUUUUUAUUUUUAUUUUUCAGAAUGUAAACUUUGAGAUGAAACUUGUUGUAAAUGGGAUGGACGUUUUUUCUUAUAUCAUUGUAAUCCU
Vicia villosa (hairy vetch) is the source of this 1029-nucleotide long non-coding RNA. RefSeq lists it as uncharacterized. NCBI's taxonomy places the organism in Eukaryota, Viridiplantae, Streptophyta, Magnoliopsida, Fabales, Fabaceae. The transcript is spliced from 4 exons. The record is from RefSeq and is a predicted model, not a curated record.